GUACAAGUCUUAUAGAAACAUCGUAUAUACUUUCGACAUUAUGGUGAAAGCGUUUCUACCUGAAAACCAAUUUCAGACUACGAUGGAAGCAUAUAUACGA
RNAcentral lists this non-coding RNA (100 nucleotides) under Erysipelotrichaceae bacterium. RNAcentral's name for it is "Guanine sequence". It matches the Rfam family "Purine riboswitch aptamer". Rfam says of the family: Riboswitches are metabolite binding domains within certain messenger RNAs that serve as precision sensors for their corresponding targets. Lineage: Bacteria; Bacillati; Bacillota; Erysipelotrichia; Erysipelotrichales; Erysipelotrichaceae. The record is from RNAcentral.